GUCACAUUGGUAUCACAUGUACUGCUGCAGCUCUCAGCACAAGAGCUUGAAGGAAGAGGCGACUGGCAGAAUGCCCAACUGGCACUGUUUUUAGAGGAAUUAAGCAGCUUUUGACUUAGACGGAGGAUAAUCACAGGUUCCUGGAGGAUAAUGCUGAGAGGGGAGACAUCAGAUCACACUCAGAACCGGGAGGGGACUGGAAGUGGAAUGUCACCACAAGAUACUUCAAACGCAAUAAAACAGGAAGAGCUGAAAGAAAAGCAGAGAGAACCCACACGAUCUUUUAUACAAGAAAAAGAACAAAAUAAAGCCCUGGGUAACUUUACGCAGUUCAGAACACCAUUUGGCAGUUAAGUAUGUCCUUAAUCUGCCCAAUUUGCUUAUUACAGUCAAGGUUUAAAAGAAUGAGAGCCUUGGCCAGAAAUGCUGCACUAACUUCUAUUCCUAAAGUAAACUCACAAACUGAA
Molecule: long non-coding RNA, 467 nt
Organism: Mastomys coucha (southern multimammate mouse)
Lineage: Eukaryota; Metazoa; Chordata; Mammalia; Rodentia; Muridae
Exons: 3
Source: RefSeq, a predicted model, not a curated record